This 337-nucleotide unclassified non-coding RNA is filed under the name Hoya ridleyi. RNAcentral's name for it is "sequence contains 18S rRNA gene, ITS1, 5.8S rRNA gene, ITS2 and 28S rRNA gene". Lineage: Eukaryota; Viridiplantae; Streptophyta; Magnoliopsida; Gentianales; Apocynaceae. The record is from RNAcentral.
UGUCGAAUCCUCAACGAAAACCUGUGAACACGUUUAAAAAUUGGCGUUGGGCGUCGGGGUAAAACCUGGCCCCUCGCCACCUGCUCGGCCGAACGACGACCAUACCGGGCUGUCGGUCGUGUCGGGCAACCGAAUAAAACGGGGGGGGCGGAAGUUGGCUUCCCGUGCUCCGUCGCGGCCAGCCUAAAAAAUGGUUCCCUCGUCGCGGACGUCGCGACAAGUGGUGGUCGUCGAGAUUGAACGCGAGUCGCCGGCAAGCCGCGUCGAGGAGAGCGUUUGGACCCUGUGCAUGUGAGUCCCUCGUCGAGGGACGACCAGCACGACCAGCGACCCCAGU